This 300-nucleotide unclassified non-coding RNA is filed under the name Cladonia sp. RNAcentral's name for it is "partial contains small subunit ribosomal RNA and internal transcribed spacer 1". The stretch from base 1 to 46 matches the Rfam family "Eukaryotic small subunit ribosomal RNA", at positions 1786 to 1831 of the family's 1831-position model. Lineage: Eukaryota; Fungi; Ascomycota; Lecanoromycetes; Lecanorales; Cladoniaceae. The record is from RNAcentral.
AAGUCGUAACAAGGUUUCCGUAGGUGAACCUGCGGAAGGAUCAUUAAUGAGGAGAGGGAGGCCCGCCCCUCCGCGGCGAGUGUCGGUCGAGUCCCUCCGGGCUUGGUCGGCAGUCGUCGUUGCUUCUUAACCCUAUGUUUACCAUACCUUUGUUGCUUUGGCGGGCCUUGAGUAGGCUAUACGGCUCAUGCCGGCCCCAGGCUUUAUUGCCUGGGGGCGGAUCGCGCCCGCCGGAGGUUUAAUCAAACUCUAUUAUCAGUGAUGUCUGAGCAAAUAUCAAAUAAUCAAAACUUUCAACAA